This 713-nucleotide long non-coding RNA is filed under the name Homo sapiens (human). RNAcentral describes it as "HSALNT0165803". The record is from RNAcentral. Lineage: Eukaryota; Metazoa; Chordata; Mammalia; Primates; Hominidae.
UUACACCUCCCCCCUCACUUCAGGGCCAGGUAACACCAAGAAGGACGCCAUGAGAGCGAAGGCCAUUGGGUAACCACCCUUUGCUCUCGCGCUGCGCGUCUCCCUGCCAUCAACCGCCACUGGGAGCGGUUGAGGGCGGCCGGCCUCGCGCUGGAACCUUGCCCGCCUCAAGGCUCCUGCGGCGGCGCACGGGGCAGGCCAGGAGCCCGCCCUAGGAGGGCCCCGCUGGAGAUGUGGAAAUGGAGGGACGCGGCACCUGGGCGCUUCCUGGGGCCAGACAACGCCCCCUCAUUGGAACCUCCAUGACCGUGCCUCUGAGAAACCAGCGCGUCUGCGACGAUCACUCCUAAUUUUCGGAUUCCUAUCAUCUGUCUCCACGUGAUAACACUGAAGAGCCUUCACGUUGAUGCAGGCCCAGGGCCUCAAGUGCAGAGACUGAGAGCUCUGCAGGACACAGCAUGGAGCCGCCAUUCCUCUAUGGGUGGAAGAGCAUGUGUCCUCUGAACAGGGGAUCCAAGCACUGAGAUAUUCUUUCUCAGCUGUCAGUGCGGCCCAGGACUUUCUGUGGGGAUGCUCAGACAGCAGGGGCCGGAGGACUUUUAGCCAACACCUAAAAUGGUCAGUCUUCACAAAUUACCUUUGGCUAAUUUGACUGUCUCUCCUCCUGGGGUCUAGGACUUCAAACAUGUACAGAAGCGAUUGCAGAAUUAAGA